This is a non-coding RNA of Neurospora crassa OR74A, 941 nucleotides long. The record is from RefSeq and is a predicted model, not a curated record. NCBI's taxonomy places the organism in Eukaryota, Fungi, Ascomycota, Sordariomycetes, Sordariales, Sordariaceae.
GCCCAGUGCUUCGCCUUUUGAAGGGGAAAAUUGGGUUGCUGUGGCACGCAGGGCAAGACGGGCAGAACCUGGGGGCUGUUGGUACACUGCUUUUUGUGACGACUUGCUGCUCGCUUUUGCCUGCUGUUUCGUGCUGAUGAUGCUGUUGUUGACGCUCUUUUCUCACAGCAUCCCCCCCCCCCCCAAAACGAUGGGAGCACAGCAGGGACAGCUAUUCGGGCAAAAUCGGAAUACAGCCUAAGCUUUUUCCCUUGUGGCACAGCUUAUUGGCUUGGGAAGCUCAAUAUUUAACACACCCAGCUCUCUGCCAACUAUGGUAUAACAGGGCAAAAUGCCCAAGCUUCAGCUAGAAGCUCCCCGUCAACAGUCUACAGCUGAUGUUGGUGUUGCUAUUGUUGUUUUGGCCAUCACGCACACCUUGACAGUUCUCAGGCAAAGCUCGCCGCGAAUCCUGGCCGAAAAUUUUUGGGCUGCUGCCCAUCUGAGGCACACUGAGGCUCCCUCUCACUCGAGACAGGGGUAAGCAACCCGUGUCCCCCACCCAAAAAAGCUGUGAUGGACAACUGCCAUUGGUUGAAGCUCGACUUUCGCAUAGUGCACCUUGGGGAAAACAGCUACUGUGGGACAAACGAAAGCAGCCAGUAUCGGCUGUAAAAACACUAGUAGUGAUGACGACAGGAUCGAAUAGGAUACUAAAACCGCUCCUCACUGUUUACGCCGCGUGUCUUUGCACAAAAGCAUGCAUGCGCAUAAUCACAACCAAAAAUCGAAGCGGUGGCGACAGGAAGCUCGAUGGGCGGUAGGGUAUAGCUCGAUAUGUUGUUGAAACUCGAGCUUGCGCUGUUCGUGUCCGGUUCUGGGAUAUGUUGAAACAAGAGCUGUCACCAGAUAUUCAAAGCUUGGAUGGCUUUUGACGAACCACGGCCAUAGACAUUGAUUUG